CAAUAAAUUCGUUUUUUCAAAGAACGGAUCUGAGUUUUCCAAAUUCUAAAUUUGGUAACUUGAAAUUUAUCUUAACGAUAUCUUUGGUAUGAUAUUGAAAAUGGUUAUAUUCUUGCAUCUCGCGAGUUUCAUUAACAAUUGAUUACCUGUCGUUACGUCGUAUCAUUUGCCUAAUCCUUUUUGAUUGGGUCAUGUGAUACAAAUUUUCU
RNAcentral lists this unclassified non-coding RNA (209 nucleotides) under uncultured Acaulospora. Its description in RNAcentral is "partial internal transcribed spacer 2". Lineage: Eukaryota; Fungi; Glomeromycota; Glomeromycetes; Diversisporales; Acaulosporaceae. The record is from RNAcentral.